Pezoporus flaviventris is the source of this 683-nucleotide long non-coding RNA. RefSeq lists it as uncharacterized. NCBI's taxonomy places the organism in Eukaryota, Metazoa, Chordata, Aves, Psittaciformes, Psittacidae. The transcript has 2 exons. The record is from RefSeq and is a predicted model, not a curated record.
CGAUGACACCAAGCUGUGUGGUUCGGUUGAUACGCUGGAGGGAAGGAAUGCCAUCCAGAGGGACCUUGACAUGCUUGUGAGGGGGCUGAUGCCAACCUCAUGAAGUUUAACCAUGACAAGUGCAAGGUCCUACACCUGGGUCGGAGCAAUCCCAGGCACAACUACAGCUACAGGUUGGGCAGAGAAGAGAUUCAGAGCAGCCCUGCGGGGAAGGAAUUGGGGGUUUUGGUCAAUGAGAUAAUGAACAUGAGCUGGCUUCAGUGUGCACGCGCAGCCCAGAAAGCCAACUGUAUCCUGGGCUGCAUCAAAAGGAGCGUGACCAGCAGGUCGAAGGAGGUGAUCCUGCCCCUCUGCUCUGCUCUCGUGAGACCUCACUUGGAGUAUUGUGUGCAGUUCUGGUGUCCUCAACAUAAAGAGGACAUGGAACUGUUGGAACAAGUCCAGAGGAGGGCCACGAGGAUGAUCAGGGGACUGGAGCACCUCCCAUAUGAAGAUAGGCUGAGGAAGUUGGGGCUGCUCAGCCUGGAGAAGAGAAGGCUGCAUGGAGACCUCAUAGCAGCCUUCCAGUAUCUGAAGGGGGCCUAUAGGGAUGCGGGGGAGGGACUCUUCAUUAGGGACUGUAGUGACAGGACAAGGGGUAAUGGGUUAAAACUUAAACAGGGGAAGUUUAGAUUGGAUAUAAG